CUCAAGUCUUUUGCAUUACAUCCAGCAGCCUGCAAACCCAAGGUGAAAGUCCAUUCUCACCUCAUCAGAAAAUGAAUAUACAUGGAUGUGUGCUGUACCUAAGAGUGACUAGAUAAUUGCUUCCACUCGCCUGACCACUGGAUAAAGUUAUCUGCAGAGUUAUCGACAGUUCCUGUGAAUGCUGAGCAGAGAUUAGAGAACAAAUACUGAUGAGAAGCAUUUCAAUAACAACCCUUUCCGUGGAGAAAUUCUUCCUGACAUCCAACCUGACCCUCUGCUGGCACAGCUUGAGGCUGUUUCCUUUUGUCCUGUCCAUUGUUUCCUGGGAAGAGCCCAGGCUUCACCUGGCUGCAUCCUCUAUGACUUUUUAAUUUUUUUUUUCUAACUUCAGGUUCAUUCAGAAACAAUCGUUGGCUGAAGCACAGCAUCAGCACAAAGUGGAUUUGGUGACCAUGAAAUAAUUAAAAGUAAAAUAGUGUCGGCUGAGGUAUUUUACUUAGAGAAGUAAAAUAAUUCCCGAGAUUACUGCACUUAACUUUAUUUUCUAAUACUCAGUGUAGACAGUUCCAACUGUGUUGAUUUGCUGCCAGCAGUGCUUUUGCCAUUUCAGCAUCUGGAAGCCUUGCUGUUAAAUAAUCAAUAUUUAUUAUUAAAAAUGGAGAAACAUUUACUAAACUUUCCUUGGAGAUUUUUCUGACAUACCUUUGACAUCCCUUUGUUAAUAAAAACUCUCUGGACUGUUUUCAAAAUUUUUUCAAUAUAUUCAUACAAAGGAAAAGGCCAGGAGAAGAGACAUUUCUAGUUCCAAACUUCUCAAAGUUAACGAGAUAGAAUAAAUAGUGCUUAGCAAGUAAAAAAGUUGAAUUUAACAUGAGAUAUUAUGGUAUUACUUCUCUUAAUGUACUUCAACUUUUAUUUGUUGUGAUUAAAGGAACUGAGGACUGCUCCAAUGCCAACAGAAGUUCAUGGGAAAAAUCCCAUUUCCUUUUUUAAUAAGUUUCAUAAGUAAUAUUUUUUUUUUAUUCCAAAACACACUGAGUGCUUCUGAGUUUUUCUCUGUUCUUUGUUGAAGAUUAAUAAACUCUUUAAACCUUUCUAGACGCAAUCUGAUAUUUCAUAGGCUGGUAUUAAGGGACUUGUCAUUCCUUCAAAUUUCACAAUGCAAGUGAAACAUUCCAUCUUUUCAUCUUUUUCCAUGAAUAAAAAGAUUUUGUUUAUUAAAAAGAAGAAGGAUCAUAUUCUAGACAUCUCUUAUCCAGGGCAGAUUGGUGACUUUUUAGUGUCACAUGAAUACUAAUAUGAGAUUUUGUAAAACCGUAUUCCAAAAUGUGUUAGUAGUAUGUGCAGUGUCCGUUUCUUUUUAUAAAACUGGAAAAUGGAUUUUCUGCAUAGUCCAAGGGGACACACAGAGUAUCCCAAUGGCUUUCUGUGAGACUAUUUUGGCUAUCCAGUUAAAUAUGUCAUUGUGUUUGGGAAAAUUCUGGGCUUGACUUUAUUUAUAGGGAAAAAGAAUAUAUAAUAGACUGUUCUUUAACCCGUGAAA
Molecule: long non-coding RNA, 1543 nt
Organism: Corvus hawaiiensis (hawaiian crow)
Lineage: Eukaryota; Metazoa; Chordata; Aves; Passeriformes; Corvidae
Exons: 3
Source: RefSeq, a predicted model, not a curated record